UGGCUCAGAUGGUAAAGCGUCUGUCUGCAAUGCAGCAGACCCGGGUUCGAUCCCUGG
Non-coding RNA from Bos taurus (domestic cattle), 57 nucleotides. Lineage: Eukaryota; Metazoa; Chordata; Mammalia; Artiodactyla; Bovidae. The record is from Rfam.